RNAcentral lists this ribosomal RNA (468 nucleotides) under uncultured bacterium. RNAcentral describes it as "partial 16S ribosomal RNA". It matches the Rfam family "Bacterial small subunit ribosomal RNA", at positions 28 to 507 of the family's 1533-position model. The record is from RNAcentral.
GACGAACGCUGGCGGCGUGCUUAAUACAUGCAAGUCGAACGGAAAGGCCCUGCUUUUGUGGGUUGCUCGAUUGCCGAACGGGGGAGUAUAACGUGAGUAUCCUGCCCUUGACAUUGGGAUAACUUCCGGAAACAGGGGCUAAAACCGGAUAGGAUCUCCUGCUGCACGGUGGGGAAUGGAAAGUUUCGGCGGUUGGGGAUGGACUCGCGGCUUAUCAGCUUGUUGGUGGGGUAGUGGCUUACCAAGGCUUUGACGGGUAGCCGGCCUGAGAGGGUGAACGGCCACAAUGGGACUGAGAUACGGCCCAGACUCCUACGGGAGGCAGCAGUGGGGAAUAUUGCACAAUGGGCGGAAGCCUGAUGCAGCAACGCCGCGUGCGGGAUGACGGCCUUCGAGUUGUAAACCGCUUUCGCCUGUGACGAAGCGUGAGUGACGGUAAUGGGUAAAGAAGCACCGGCUAACUACGUG